AACGAACGCUGGCGGCAGGCCUAACACAUGCAAGUCGAGCGAGGACUUCGGUCCUAGCGGCGGACGGGUGAGUAACGCGUGGGAACGUGCCCUUUGCUUCGGAAUAGCCCUGGGAAACUGGGAGUAAUACCGGAUGAGCCCUUUGGGGGAAAGAUUUAUCGGCGAAGGAUCGGCCCGCGUUGGAUUAGGUAGUUGGUGGGGUAAUGGCCUACCAAGCCGACGAUCCAUAGCUGGUUUGAGAGGAUGAUCAGCCACACUGGGACUGAGACACGGCCCAGACUCCUACGGGAGGCAGCAGUGGGGAAUCUUAGACAAUGGGGGAAACCCUGAUCUAGCCAUGCCGCGUGAGCGAUGAAGGCCUUAGGGUUGUAAAGCUCUUUCAGCUGGGAAGAUAAUGACGGUACCAGCAGAAGAAACCCCGGCUAACUCCGUG
This 433-nucleotide ribosomal RNA is filed under the name uncultured bacterium. RNAcentral's name for it is "partial 16S ribosomal RNA". It matches the Rfam family "Bacterial small subunit ribosomal RNA", at positions 29 to 507 of the family's 1533-position model. The record is from RNAcentral.